Long non-coding RNA from Mus caroli (Ryukyu mouse), 652 nucleotides. RefSeq lists it as uncharacterized. NCBI's taxonomy places the organism in Eukaryota, Metazoa, Chordata, Mammalia, Rodentia, Muridae. The record is from RefSeq and is a predicted model, not a curated record.
UUGUCUUCCCCAUCACCCUCCUCUCAGGCCUUUACUGGUGACCAGACUGUCUCUGAAGGAAGGAAGACCCUGGAAGCCAUAGCUGUCUUGAAACCAUCUCUUACAUCAGCUCCGGACCCCGUCUCCCUGAUGCAAACCCACCUUGCUUUGGAGUCAUGUUCCGGCGGCCGCACUGCUGCUUUACGCUGUGCAUACAUUCUCAUGUCCUGCUCACACCAGUGCUUGCAAAGGGGCCUAAAGUAGUCUGGAAUACCAGAUAUGCAAUCAAUUGGCCCUUCCAAUAGCAAACCCUGAUACCAUCUGAACUGUAUCCUGAAGGAACUGGCUGGCAAGAAUUGGAACCAGCUGGUAAGGGAUAGAACACUGAAAACAACUAGUAAAUUCAGGAGCCACGUUCCCGGCGUGGAGAGCUGGAUCUGGACUUCCCAGUAGCAACUGAGAAGUGAGGAUACGAGGGAAUCUGCAGAGGACGAGAAAACUCUCUUCGGGUCGCUGCUGAGGAGUGAAGCUGAAACUGAGCAUGUCCGAACUCUUCACACUGCAACCACAAAGCUCAGGCUCAAGAAGGCGAAUCUGAGUCACAAAAACAUCCCCUAAAGAAACUCCUACGACGCUUUGAGGACGCUUAUGAUUCUGUCGGGCCACGCCCAUC